This 244-nucleotide ribosomal RNA is filed under the name uncultured bacterium. RNAcentral describes it as "partial 16S ribosomal RNA". It matches the Rfam family "Bacterial small subunit ribosomal RNA", at positions 796 to 1041 of the family's 1533-position model. The record is from RNAcentral.
CACGCCGUAAACGAUGAAUACUAGGUGUAGGGGUUGUCAUGACCUCUGUGCCGCCGCUAACGCAUUAAGUAUUCCGCCUGGGGAGUACGGUCGCAAGAUUAAAACUCAAAGGAAUUGACGGGGGCCCGCACAAGCAGCGGAGCAUGUGGUUUAAUUCGAAGCAACGCGAAGAACCUUACCUAGACUUGACAUCUCCUGAAUUACCCUUAAUCGGGGAAGCCCUUCGGGGCAGGAAGACAGGUGG